CAACAAAACGCAAAUGUAAAAAGAUAGCGGAAAGGAGAGAGAUUAGCUCUGGGUUUGCUGCGACCUACCCUUAGCUGGUUACAUCACUUUCCGGAUUCGAGAACGACCUCCGGCAACUGAAAUAUUCGCCGGAAAAUCGCAGGCGGGAAGUAGAUGCAAGAAUCGACUCUGUUCCCAUUCUUUCAGGCCAGUCCAGCCAGCAUCUACCCAUAGUUCCCUCAAACCCAACGACGAAUGCGGACCGGUAUUUUCGCCGGAAACCAAGCGAAUACAUAUGAAGAUGGGUCCUGCUCCUAAACAACCUUCGUUUUGUCUGAAAUGGCCAUGGGAUGUUGAACAACAUCCUAAAAAUCCUAAUGUAUGCACCUUUGAGGUUCCUUGGCUAUUCAAAUCUUUUCAUACUCUUGGGUCCAUUGCUUUCAAUUCACUGAACUCAAUUGCCAAAUCUUCAAAUUCUUGGUUGCAUACCUUUAAUGCUGUCAAAAUGGAUGCUGGAACAAGCCAAAAUAACAGUUUGAAGUUGCAAAGAAAGCACUUAACUCUUGAAGAGCAAGGAGAGGCAGAGCAAAGAGCAUUUGCCUCCGCACUAGCAACUGGGAAAGAGGCUACUGUGCUGGAGUUCUACUCACCCAAAUGUAGGUUGUGCAAUUCUUUGCUUAAUUUUGUCCUGGAGGUCGAGAGCAGGAAUUCAAGUUGGCUUAAUGUUGUAAUGGCAGAUGCAGAGAAUGAGAAAUGGCUGCCUGAGCUGCUCCAUUAUGACAUAAGAUAUGUUCCUUGCUUUGUACUGUUGGACAAAAAUGGGAGAGCAUUGGCAAAGACGGGUGUUCCAAGUAGUCGACUACAUGUCAUUGCAGGCCUGUCGCAUCUUCUGAAAUUAAAGCGUCCUCAGGGUAAUAAUACAAUAACUAAGUCUUAAUCCCAAACCAGUAGUGGUCAGUUAUAUAGAUCAAUUUUCGGCAUUCGCCCUCAGGAUAAUAAUGGCUAGACUAAAUUGUAUUUUGAUCAUCAUAAAUUACCAUCAUUGUAUAAUAGUCUUUAUAAAGUCAUCUAGGAGCGAGUUUUCCUUUUUCAAAAG
This 1075-nucleotide unclassified non-coding RNA is filed under the name Hevea brasiliensis (rubber tree). Lineage: Eukaryota; Viridiplantae; Streptophyta; Magnoliopsida; Malpighiales; Euphorbiaceae. The record is from RNAcentral.